Molecule: long non-coding RNA, 876 nt
Filed under: Monodelphis domestica (gray short-tailed opossum)
Lineage: Eukaryota; Metazoa; Chordata; Mammalia; Didelphimorphia; Didelphidae
Description: lncRNA (ENSMODG00000031430.2)
Source: RNAcentral
UCACAAGACCCCACUGCCACUCCCAGCAGGAAGGAAGUGCUAGUCACAAGACGCCAACUGCCACUCCCAGUUGUCCCCUUCCCCCACAAACUGUCAGUCUUAUUUCCUUUCCCACAAACCCCCAACUUCAGUCCCCAGAAGUCCUUGGUAUUUCCCAGAAUUCCUUAUAAUCUCACCUGAGUCUCCACCUGGGCAAGAUCACAAUUAGUAUUUAACUGUCAGUAACAUCUCCCAAGCGCUCUCUCCUCUUCCAUUGCAAUUAUGUAUGGAUCAUGGCCAGAUAGGACGAGGAAAUGGAUCUCAUUUUGAAAAUGAACUGUUUGGAAAAGACACCAUGAAGAUGUCUCCACAGACCACAUGCUACACCAGAAGAUCAAGAGUGAAAUUUGGGAUGUGGUGAUUUGAACUGUGUGGGUUUAAAAUGCAUUUGUUUUGUAUGUAUACUCUUAUGCCAAAUGGGACUGCCUCCUAACUGACUUUUUGUCAAUGUGCCUAGCAAUCUUUGGGUUUAGUUCUCUUUUCCUCUUAUCCUCAAAUUAUUGUAUGUUUAUAAUACCCACCCGAGAGACUAGUCUUCCUCAGACCUCAUGAGGAAAUGUCAAAAUGGAGAUUUUGAAACCCAGACUUCAGUCCCCAGAAGUCCUUGGUAUUUCCCAGAAUUCCCUACAAUCUUACCUGAGUCUCCACCUGGGUGAGAUCACAAUUAGUAUUUAACUGGCAGUAACACCUCCCAAGCGUUCUCUCCUCUUCCAUUGCAAUGAUGUAGUAAGUCAGCGUUGAAUGGGCUAAUCAACCCUGGCACGUGGUUAUUAUUUUGUAUCCUUGGUUCUAAUAAUCUUUAAUAAACCUCAUAAAAUAUAAUACUUUUACUAUUAG